Molecule: ribosomal RNA, 183 nt
Filed under: uncultured bacterium
Lineage: Bacteria
Description: partial 16S ribosomal RNA
Rfam family: Bacterial small subunit ribosomal RNA
Source: RNAcentral
UGCAUGAAGUCGGAAUUGCUAGUAAUCGCAGAUCAGCAUGCUGCGGUGAAUACGUUCCCGGGCCUUGUACACACCGCCGUCACACCAUGGGAGUCGGUAACACCCGAAGUCGGUAGCCUAACCGUAAGGAGGGCGCCGCCGAAGGUGGGAUUGAUGACUGGGGUGAAGUCGUAACAAGGUAAC